GCGGGAAUAGCUCAGUUGGUAGAGCACGACCUUGCCAAGGUCGGGGUCGCGAGUUCGAGUCUCGUUUCCCGUA
Molecule: transfer RNA, 73 nt
Filed under: Pantoea agglomerans
Lineage: Bacteria; Pseudomonadati; Pseudomonadota; Gammaproteobacteria; Enterobacterales; Erwiniaceae
Also listed under: 1 other name
Description: tRNA-Gly
Rfam family: tRNA
About the family: Transfer RNA (tRNA) molecules are approximately 80 nucleotides in length. Their secondary structure includes four short double-helical elements and three loops (D, anti-codon, and T loops). Further hydrogen bonds mediate the characteristic L-shaped molecular structure. tRNAs have two regions of fundamental functional importance: the anti-codon, which is responsible for specific mRNA codon recognition, and the 3' end, to which the tRNAs corresponding amino acid is attached (by aminoacyl-tRNA synthetases). tRNAs cope with the degeneracy of the genetic code in two manners: having more than one tRNA (with a specific anti-codon) for a particular amino acid; and 'wobble' base-pairing, i.e. permitting non-standard base-pairing at the 3rd anti-codon position.
Source: RNAcentral